This is a non-coding RNA of Caenorhabditis elegans, 96 nucleotides long. Lineage: Eukaryota; Metazoa; Nematoda; Chromadorea; Rhabditida; Rhabditidae. The record is from Ensembl.
AUCGGUCCGAAGUUGAUGGGUUACCAAUUGAAUUCUCUCUGUUCUUUUAAAGAACUACCCAUCCCAUCAACAUCAACUUGAUCGAAAAACAUUUUU